AUCAUCCACUAGGGGAAUCAAUUGAUUGAGACAAGGAAACUUGGACCCUUUGAACCUGAUCUGGUUAACACCAGCGUAGGAAAGUGGAGCUGACCACUU
This 99-nucleotide non-coding RNA is filed under the name Marininema halotolerans. Its description in RNAcentral is "TPP sequence". It matches the Rfam family "TPP riboswitch aptamer (THI element)". From Rfam's summary of the family: Vitamin B(1) in its active form thiamin pyrophosphate (TPP) is an essential coenzyme that is synthesised by coupling of pyrimidine and thiazole moieties in bacteria. The previously detected thiamin-regulatory element, thi box was extended, resulting in a new, highly conserved RNA secondary structure, the THI element, which is widely distributed in eubacteria and also occurs in some archaea. Lineage: Bacteria; Bacillati; Bacillota; Bacilli; Caryophanales; Thermoactinomycetaceae. The record is from RNAcentral.